AGAGUUUGAUCAUGGCUCAGAACGAACGCUGGCGGCAUGCCUAAUACAUGCAAGUCGAACGCGCCUAGCAAUAGGCGAGUGGCGGACGGGUGAGUAACGCGUGGGAACCUGCCCUUGAGUGCGGGAUAACCGAGGGAAACUUCGGCUAAUACCGCAUGCGCCCCGGGCAACUGGGGGAAAGAUUUAUCGCUCGAGGAGGGGCCCGCGUCGGAUUAGCUAGUUGGUGGGGUAACGGCCUACCAAGGCGAUGAUCCGUAGCUGGUCUGAGAGGAUGAUCAGCCACACUGGGACUGAGACACGGCCCAGACUCCUACGGGAGGCAGCAGUAGGGAAUAUUGGACAAUGGGGGCAACCCUGAUCCAGCAAUGCCGCGUGAGUGAUGAAGGCCUUAGGGUUGUAAAGCUCUUUCGCGCGCGACGAUGAUGACGGUAGCGCGAGAAGAAGCCCCGGCUAACUUCGUGCCAGCAGCCGCGGUAAUACGAAGGGGGCGAGCGUUGUUCGGAAUUACUGGGCGUAAAGGGCGCGCAGGCGGCCUUUCAAGUCAGGCGUGAAAGCCCCGGGCUUAACCUGGGAAUUGCGCUUGGGACUGGAGGGCUUGAGUUCGGGAGAGGAGAGUGGAAUUCCCAGUGUAGAGGUGAAAUUCGUAGAUAUUGGGAAGAACACCGGUGGCGAAGGCGGCUCUCUGGACCGAUACUGACGCUGAGGCGCGAAAGCGUGGGGAGCAAACAGGAUUAGAUACCCUAGUAGUCC
This 750-nucleotide ribosomal RNA is filed under the name uncultured bacterium. RNAcentral's name for it is "bacterial SSU rRNA". It matches the Rfam family "Bacterial small subunit ribosomal RNA", at positions 8 to 796 of the family's 1533-position model. The record is from RNAcentral.